GAUGAACGCUGGCGGCGUGCUUAACACAUGCAAGUCGAACGAUGAAGCCCAGCUUGCUGGGUGGAUUAGUGGCGAACGGGUGAGUAACACGUGAGUAACCUGCCCUUAACUCUGGGAUAAGCCUGGGAAACUGGGUCUAAUACCGGAUAGGAGCGUCCACCGCAUGGUGGGUGUUGGAAAGAUUUAUCGGUUUUGGAUGGACUCGCGGCCUAUCAGCUUGUUGGUGAGGUAAUGGCUCACCAAGGCGACGACGGGUAGCCGGCCUGAGAGGGUGACCGGCCACACUGGGACUGAGACACGGCCCAGACUCCUACGGGAGGCAGCAGUGGGGAAUAUUGCACAAUGGGCGAAAGCCUGAUGCAGCGACGCCGCGUGAGGGAUGACGGCCUUCGGGUUGUAAACCUCUUUCAGUAGGGAAGAAGCGAAAGUGACGGUACCUGCAGAAGAAGCACCGGCUAACUACGUGCCAGCAGCCGCGGUAAUACGUAGGGUGCGAGCGUUAUCCGGAAUUAUUGGGCGUAAAGAGCUCGUAGCGGUUUGUCGCGUCUGUCGUGAAAGUCCGGGGCUUAACCCCGGAUCUGCGGUGGGUACGGGCAGACUAGAGUGCAGUAGGGGAGACUGGAAUUCCUGGUGUAGCGGUGGAAUGCGCAGAUAUCAGGAGGAACACCGAUGGCGAAGGCAGGUCUCUGGGCUGUAACUGACGCUGAGGAGCGAAAGCAUGGGGAGCGAACAGGAUUAGAUACCCUGGUAGUCCAUGCCGUAAACGUUGGGCACUAGGUGUGGGGACCAUUCCACGGUUUCCGCGCCGCAGCUAACGCAUUAAGUGCCCCGCCUGGGGAGUACGGCCGCAAGGCUAAAACUCAAAGGAAUUGACGGGGGCCCGCACAAGCGGCGGAGCAUGCGGAUUAAUUCGAUGCAACGCGAAGAACCUUACCAAGGCUUGACAUGUUCUCGAUCGCCGUAGAGAUACGGUUUCCCCUUUGGGGCGGGUUCACAGGUGGUGCAUGGUUGUCGUCAGCUCGUGUCGUGAGAUGUUGGGUUAAGUCCCGCAACGAGCGCAACCCUCGUUCCAUGUUGCCAGCACGUAAUGGUGGGGACUCAUGGGAGACUGCCGGGGUCAACUCGGAGGAAGGUGAGGACGACGUCAAAUCAUCAUGCCCCUUAUGUCUUGGGCUUCACGCAUGCUACAAUGGCCGGUACAAUGGGUUGCGACACUGUGAGGUGGAGCUAAUCCCAAAAAGCCGGUCUCAGUUCGGAUUGGGGUCUGCAACUCGACCCCAUGAAGUCGGAGUCGCUAGUAAUCGCAGAUCAGCAACGCUGCGGUGAAUACGUUCCCGGGCCU
This 1342-nucleotide ribosomal RNA is filed under the name uncultured bacterium. RNAcentral's name for it is "bacterial SSU rRNA". It matches the Rfam family "Bacterial small subunit ribosomal RNA", at positions 28 to 1381 of the family's 1533-position model. The record is from RNAcentral.